UCCGGCUCCUGCACUUCUCCAUGGCCCUUGGAGCUGCAGUUGCACGAGAGAAAUUGUAAGAGCAUGGAAAGCAAGUACUCAACUGAAACAACACCAAUGCAGAUAUCUUGUGGGUAGAACAGUAUAAGGGAAUGGAAUUGAGUGGAUUUCACUGAAUGGAAGUAUAGAUUCUGCUAGUUCAUUCCUAAAGU
Molecule: long non-coding RNA, 191 nt
Organism: Magnolia sinica
Lineage: Eukaryota; Viridiplantae; Streptophyta; Magnoliopsida; Magnoliales; Magnoliaceae
Exons: 2
Source: RefSeq, a predicted model, not a curated record